AUGAGAAUGGUGGAGGCUAUAGACGGGUGGUCUUGGACAAUGCUCAAGUACAGUGAUUCUAAACAGACGUCAUUGGUCCCGAACCAAUCUGUAAGGGACAUAUACCUCGAGAAGUGGACUUGGCUUGCUGCUUGGAAUUGCAGCCUUGUUCUCCCUGGUGAGCGUCUUCACCAGGUAUUCACGUGAAAGAAGAGGCUACAACAAUGCGUCUCAUGCGUGAGCUACCUGCACUGAUGGCAAGUGACCGAGCCUCCACUUUGUCUCCCAUCUUGCGUACGGUUUCUGGUGUGGGCCCGACAAACAUCACGCCAGCAUCUUGGCAGGCCUGGGCAAAAUCUGACCGCUCCGACAAGAAGCCAUAACCAGGGUGGAUGGCGUCAACGUCGUUUUCCUGUCAAGAACACAGACCUUACAAAAGGCUGGCUAACAAUCAUGAUCACCUAUGCAUCAUCACUAAUUAAGCAUUCAGAACGAAAGCAUUCCACAAUGACAUUUUUCUGUCUCCUUUAAUAAGCACCACUGUGGCGAGCAGGGUAGUCCAGAUAGAGAUGUUGCUUGAUGGGUAUCUGCCAUCUGCUCCCACAGACAAUAAUUAAGGGGCAUCUCAGGCACUGAGGAAGGCGUUUACUGGCAGGAGAGAUUAACACUAAAGCCACACAAGUGUCAGAAUCCUCUGAGAAACAUAUAGAAACACACACACCAACACAGUCCACAGUGCCAGAAGCCCUGGCAGCGCUCCCAGACUGACUGGGGAGUCACAAGACUUGACUGCCGGGAGACAAAAUAAUACUCUCUGACUGAAGAAUGAUCAGAAGUAUGAAAGUUUGGAGGCCAAGACAGAUUGGAGCUAAGCAUGUGGGUUUUACGAAAUUAAAAUGAGAAUCACAAAUGAAAAAAAUCUUCCAUAUUUUCACUAGAUAAAUAGAUAGAUAGAGAGAUCUCAAUAUUCACAACAUGCGGCCUAUAGUAACAACAGCAACAGACGGUGGCAUUUUUCUUGGACUGUACAGCAAAGCUUUGACAUCAGCUCGAGAUUAACAAUGGGGGGCAGGAGACUAAGAAUGUGUGACCUACCUUUGCCACUUUGAUGAUGUCAGGGAUGUCCAGGUAGGCCGCGACAGGUGGGAGACCUUUUCCAAUCAGGUAUGCCUCAUCUGCUUUUUGUCUGUGGGCAUCAAAACAAUUUCUCACAGGUGACAGAAAUAUACAGGAGUGAUCUAUCCGCCUACUUUUUAAUGGGGAGGUGCAUUGCAGCCCUUUCCUCUUAGGCAUACUAAUGCUAAAAACUGAAUAAGAAGCGUAUUGUUGUUGGGGAUGUUAAUACCUGUGCAUCUGUCCAGUGUCCUGCUCCGAGUACACAGCCACUGUCCUGAUGCCGAGCUCGGUGCAGGCCCGGAACACACGGAUUGCAAUCUCACCUGAGGGGCACACACCAGACAGAUAUGUACAUGCAUGGUGAGUAAAAACAAGUCUCACCUCUGUUGGCCACCAUCACUUUCUUAAUUGGUCGAUAGUUGCUCUGCGAUGAAGAGUGGGCAGAACGGGAAAGAACACAAGCCCUUCUGACCGCCAGCAGGCCAAGGCUGCCUUGGGCCGACACAAACCUCAACAACCUGCGAGAGAAGGACAAAUCAGACCACAUUUCAUUGAAAUGUUUGUUUUUCACAUUCAUCCUGAUUCCAAAGAGACAGUCAUUUUGAGGUUACUUCAGGUCUUAAAAACAAGAGCAUGUUUUGCACAGUAUUUACAGACAGCAAAACAACACUGUCAGUGUGAUCUUAAAACAGUAUUUCAGGAUGCUGUAACGUACAUUGGCAGUCACAGAAUACCUUCUCUUCAGAUUAACAGGUUACAAAAAUCACAAUCUGGAGCCAGUUUGUCCUGUCAGAAGUGUUUUGACUGAUGUCAUGGAUCGAGGUCUUGUUCUAAUUAAUGUUCCAGUGGCUCCAGUGAACUCACUCGAGCACGCACACAAGCUCAGCACAGAGCUCUGACCCAGAUGAAUGGAACUUGGCCAUAAUUAAUGUAAUUAAUUACAGCCAUUUAUCCUAAAAUAGCCUGUCACAAAUGAUGCAGGGAGAUUAACAAGAGCCCAUUAAAACUUGACGCCUUAAUUUUUUGUUGAAACUUUAGAGAAACCCCCAUAUUUCAACUGUCAACUCCUUAGUCUUGAAUAAUUUAUUUUUAAUGAGUCGUCCAUCAAUUUAUUGAACUGGUCAAAAUCUUUUUUUUUCUUGAAUGUGAAACUGUGACGAGGAAAACAAUAGAGCCUGGCCGCUGAUGAAAGCGAAACUCACAGCUAUGAUAAGGCCACCACGCCAAAACGUGGACGACAGCAAGCCGCGCCCAGACGAACCAUCACCUUCGUGAACGCUGUAAUGGUCGCGCCGUAAGUCAGUGGCGGUCCUCUGCUGCCAUCUGGUGGUCAUGUUCUUUCAACAGUGAUAAAAUAAGACGAGUGUGCAAUACUGUAUUAUGUCAAAUCCAAAAGUGUAUUACUUUUUUCAUUAUGUCUUAUAAAUCAUAUAAUUGAGAAAUCAUGAAAAAAUACCUUAAGCUUUUGUUUCCACUUAGUACAUUUAAAUUACCCCAAAUAUUCAUGAUGAAAGUUGAAAACAUUUGUGCUAGUAUAUUAUAGAAGACACACAGAAACCACAAUAUCAGCACUACAAAGAUUCAUUUUUGUUCUUUCCCCCUUUCAUUACAACCAUUUUUCUAAGCCCAUGGGAUUUUAAAAAUGUUCAAUGUGGUCGGAGAACUUGAAAAGCUGAAGUUUUUAAGGCAACUAAGCAUUGUACUGUAUCAAUUACUAUUGAUAAUUUAAAAUAAUUUCAAGAAUUAAACAUUUCUUAAAUCUAUAUUGCGGCGGACAAGGUUUUGUUUUUUGCAUGUGCAUAAUUGUAUUUUAUUAUUUCAUUUUUUAUUUUUGUUAUGCAUUUUAUUGUUUUAAGGCUAAUUACAAGGAUGUGCUGUGGUCAAAAUAAUUAUUCAACUUGAUUUUCCUUUUGAUGUAUAUAAAUGUCCUAGACUACUUGCCAAACAAUUUCAAAUUAAAG
Molecule: long non-coding RNA, 3056 nt
Organism: Synchiropus splendidus (mandarinfish)
Lineage: Eukaryota; Metazoa; Chordata; Actinopteri; Syngnathiformes; Callionymidae
Exons: 3
Source: RefSeq, a predicted model, not a curated record